CCCAUGCAGAAUGCGCGCGAUCACCAGCUCGCCGCCCUCCACGCGGAACGUUACACCCUGGAGGUCAGAGGGAGUGUAAGAUGAGGCCCCAAUUGCUCCAAGUCAGAAUCUUCAAAUAGUCUCCUAAUAGGUCCUCCCUCAGCCCCCAGGCAUUUUCCCCAUCCCACCCCCCAGCCCCCAGCUUCAGCUCCUCACUCACUGACAAUCAUACCCACACGUGCACAUGCAUUCCUUGCUGUCUCCUUUCUUCCCCAAAAUUACUAGGACCUAGUUUAGGGAAGGAAGAAACCAAAGGACAAACCUUCCUUUCCAUCCCCUUGCCACAGAGGGUCAUUAGAAGUUACCAAAUUGUCCCCAGCUCCCAGGACCCUAUAUGCAUUGGCGUUCAAAGAUGGCUUCUUCCACCAGACAUCAUGGUUGGGUGGGGCCUUGAAGACCCUGAAGCCCAGGAUGAGGAAAUUAGGGAGGUAGAAUAACUUUCCCAGGGUCAAUGGGACUUGAACUUGCGUCUCCAGGCCCUCAACUCAGUGUUCCCAGCGAAUGAGGGGACAGGAAAUCAGAACACGGUGCCAGGAGCAGGCCCUGCACCUAUUUGUUGCUCUGCUGGCUCCGGGCUCCAUACCAAGGAGCGCUGAAAACAGAAAAGGAAUCCUUCGCCAGUGACCAGCCCAGUGGGGAGUGUUAGGUUAGAUGGGUCAGGAAGAAAAGAAUUCCAUUUCAAUAAUAUAUAUGAAGACCAUUUUUCCCCUCUGAAUCUUUGAAAGAUCAUUGCAGACAACACAAGCCACUUUACCCCAAAGUAUUUCAGCAUGUAUUUCAUAGGAACAAAGACAUUCUGCUGCAUAAACCACAAUACCAUUAUCACCUGCAAGAAAUUUAACAUCGAUUCAUUAAUACAUUAUGUAAGACAGUCCACAUUCAAAUGUUCACUCUUGUCCCAAAAGUAUCCUUUAUAAUUUUAUUUUUUCUGAUUCAGGAUCUAAUUGAUGAUCAUAUGUUGUAGUUGGUUGACAUAUCUUUUUAUUCUCCUCUAAUCUAGAACAGAUCCCAAUAACUUUUAGACUUUCAGAACAUUUGUUGUUUUGUUUUUUUUGUUUCUGUUUUUGUUUUGUAGGGACAGGGUCUCACUACGUUGCCUAGGCUAGUCUCAAACUCUUGGCUUCAAGUGAUCCUCCUGCUUCAGGCUCCCAAAGCCUGAGAUUACAGGCAUGAGCCACUGCACCCAGCCUAGACAUUUUUAGACUCCAGGCCAGUAGUUUUUAGGAUGCUCUACCACUAGAUUUAGUUGAUUGUUUCCUCAUGAUUAGACUUACGUUAAUCCUUUUGACAAGAGUUCUACGUAGGUGAUCUUGUGUCUUUGUGUCUUUCCCAUACUUUGAGACUAUGUGACUAUUCUGUUCCCCCAAAAUCCUUCACCAAUGGAUUUAGUGUCAAUUUAUGACCCUUGCCUAAAUGAGUUAUUAUACUGGAGGUUGCAAAAUAGUGAUUACCUAAUUCCCAUCAUUCCUUCUACAUUAUUGGCAUUCUGCUAUAAGAAUGAGCUUUUCAGCCAGGCACAGUGGCUCACGCCUGUAAUCCCUGCACUUUGGGAGGCCAAGGCAGGUGGAUUACCUGAGGUCAGGAGUUUGCAAAACAGCCUGGCCAACAUGGUGAAACCCCGUUUCUACUACAGAUAUAAAAAAUUAGCCUAGCAUAGUGGUGGGCGCCUGUAAUCCCAGCUACUCAGGAGGCUGAGGCAGGAGAACCGCUUGAACCUGGGAGGUGGAGGUUGCAAUGAGCCGAGAUCAUGCCAUUGCACUCCAGCCUGGGCAACAAGAGCAAAACUCCAGCUCAAAAAAAAAAAAAAAAAAGAAUGAGCUCUUCUUUUCUCCCUACCACCUUACUCCUCUUUCUCUCCUUCUCUCUCUCAUGAUAUCACUAUGAAUUUUUUUUAUUCCAUGUGUUCUAAUCCAUUACGAUCACUAUCUUCGUUGACCCAGUUUAUCCCAAAUUUGUCCAGUGGGAGCCCCAUUCACACCUCUGUCCUGUUGACAUGUUCCCAUCAGUCCUUGAGCAUCUUCUUCCCUUCUGGCACAGGCUCAUCUGAUGCAUUCCCUACCCCAGGUCUGGAAUCAGCAAUUUCUCCAAGGAACCCUGAUUCCUUUUAGCAGGAGAUAGUAUUUAGAAACCAAGAUGUGGACACUCAAUACCCAUUGUUUCUGGGCAUCAUUUCUUUGGCAGUCAUUAGUAGAUACUAAUGGCUCCAAAUAAAAUUAAAGGAUUUUUCUCAUCUUCCCCCAUUCCAUAUUUGUGUCUCCCUUCUCCUUCAGUGAGAACUUAUUUCCCAAUAACAUCAGUAUAUUUACUUAUUUGUUCUGUCCUUCAAUAUUCAAAGCAGUUUCAAAAUUGCUAUACAACUGCUACUACCUAUCACAAAUCUAUUAGUAAAAAUCAGCCGGGAAGGGUAGUAGGGGCGUAAGGGAUAAAAGACUACACACUGGGUACAGUGUAUACUGCUUGGGUGAUGGGUGCAUCAAAAUCUCAGAAAUCACCACUAAAGGCCAGGCGCAGUGGCUCAUGCCUGUAAUCCCGCACUUUGGGAAGCCAAGGCAGGAGGAUCACCUGAGGUCAGGAGUUUGAGACGAGCCUGACCAACAUGGUGAAACACCAUCUCUACCAAAAAUACAAAAUUAGCCGGGCAUGUGGCACAUGCCUGUAAUCCCAGCUACUCAGGAGGCUGAGUCAUGAGAAUCACUUGGACCCGGGAGGCAGAGGUUGCAAGGAGCUGAGAUCGCGCCACUGCCCUCCAGCCUGGGCAACAGAGCAAGACUCUGUUUCCAAAAAAAAAAAUUAAAUAAAUAUAUUGCCCUUUCUUACAUAAAACACAGAACACUGUAUAUACCCUUUGAUACCCUAGGGCUUUUAUUUAACUGGUUUGGUUUUCUGGCUUUUUAUUUAAAAAUAUGUCAUAGAAAUCACUCCAUGAAACUGCAUGGAGAUCUUCCUUUAUUAAUUAUUAUUGUUAGUUUGUUUGAGACAGAGUCUUGCUCUGUCACCCAGGAUGGAGUGCAGUGGCGCGAUCUCAGCUCACUGCAACCUCUGCCUCCCAGGUUGGGAUUACAGGCAUGAACCACCAUGCCCAUCUUAUUAUUUUAAUUACUGCAUUUGACUCCAUUGCAUGACUGGAUUCCUGUAAUUUAUUCAACCAGUCUCCAUGGGUAUUUAGGUUGUUUCUAAUACUUUGCUAUUGCAAAUAAUGUUGCAGUAAAUGACUCCGGCAUAGUAUUCUAUAUCUGUGGAGAAGAUCUUCCAUGUAAAUUCCUAGAAGUCUUGCUGGGUCAAGCAGCAAAUACAUACGUAAUUUUCUUAGAUAUUGACAAAUUCCCCUCCAUGGGACUUUGGCCAGUUUGCUCUCCUGCUAGCACUGUAUGAGGGAUUUUCUUGAAGCUCACCACCAGAGUGUUGAUCAAACAUUUGCAUGUCUGCCAAUCACAUGGAGGAGAAAUGAUCUCUCAUUGGGGCUUACUUUGCAUUUUGCUUAUUAUGAGUAAAGUCAAACAUCUCUCCAUAUGAUUAAGGACCAUCUGUAUAUCUUUUUCUGUGAACUGUCUACUCAUGUCUUUCCCAAUUUUUCUGUCAGGUCUUGGUUUUUAUUCUUUUCCCUAUUUUAAAAAAUGUUUUCUCUCUAUUGGGAAAAUUAGCCCUUUGUGAUAUUUCUUGUAAAUGAUUUCCCCCAGUUUGUCACUUGUCUUUUGACUCUGCUUGUGGUGUUUUUGCAUGCAAAAAAAAAAAAAAAAUUUAGGUCAGGUGCAGUGGUUCACACCUGCAAUCCCAACACUUUGGGAGGUCAAGGAGGAAGGACUGCUUGAGCCCAGGAGCUCAAGACCAGCCUGGGUAAGAUGGGAAGCCCCUGUUGCUACAAAAUAUUUUAAAAAUUCACCUGAGCAUUUUUAAUCCUCAUUUUAAUGCAUGGUGGCAUGCACCUGAUGUCCCUGCUACUCUUACUUGGGAGGCUGAGGUGGAAGGAUCACUUGAACCCAGGAGAUUGAGGCUGCAGUGAGCACUGUUUGCACUACUGCACUCCAGCCUGAGUGACAGAGCAAGACCCUGGCUCAAAAAACAAAUUUUUUAAUGUGGGUGAAUUUAAUAAUCUUUCAUGCAUCUGAAUUUUGAGGCAUAGUUUUUUGUUUUUUUGUUUUUUUUUUAAGGGAGGGCUUUUCCCAUAUACAGAGCCUUGUUUUCUUCUAGGACGUGUAUGAUUUAUAUUUUCACAUAGAGAUCUCUGAUCCGCUUGGAGUUUAUUCUGAUAUAUGAUGUGAGGAAUAAAUACACUUUGAUAUCUUUCAAAAUGACUAUCCAGAUGUUCCAAUACCAUUUAUUAAAAAUUCAUGGCAGGGCACAAUGGCUCACACCUGUAAUCCCAGCACUUUGGGAGGCCAAGGCAGGAGGAUCACUUGAGCCCAGGAGUUCAAGACAGCAAGACCCCAUCUCUAUUUUUUAAAAUUUUUUUAAUUAAAAAAAUUC
Molecule: long non-coding RNA, 4503 nt
Filed under: Homo sapiens (human)
Lineage: Eukaryota; Metazoa; Chordata; Mammalia; Primates; Hominidae
Description: HSALNT0241095
Source: RNAcentral